Molecule: long non-coding RNA, 1232 nt
Filed under: Homo sapiens (human)
Lineage: Eukaryota; Metazoa; Chordata; Mammalia; Primates; Hominidae
Description: HSALNT0006415
Source: RNAcentral
UGGGAGGUGUUUUUUUAAUCCCCAUUCUUAAACUAUUGCUAGAAUCCAAUAUCUCUUCUUUACAGUUUUGGACAUGCAGGUCCAGAAAGGGGAGAGGCUUGUCUAAAGUCCUGAAGCAAGUCAGUGCAAAGCCUAGGACUGUAACCACACUGCACUCACCCCUUCCUCCAGCCCCCACCCAGCUCUUUCUUCUCUGCAUUUAUUCAACAAUAUUUAUUCAGCACCUGAUUUGUGGCAGACUAUGCUAGGCACCAGGGAGCCAAAAAUGAAGACCAAGGAUUCUUACUCUCAGGAGCUGACAUCUGGGGGAGGGUGGUGGUUAUGCAGGGAGGGACACAUUAAACAGAUUUUUCCUAAGUGUUAAGAGAAGCCAUUGAAGAACCUCAGUGAGAAAGUGGUAUAAAGCUCCUGUUGAUUGAAGAACUUGAGUGAGAAAGUGGUAAUAACUCGGCAAGCUGCUCAUAUGUGUCUGGCCUCUCCACUUGCUCUUAGCUCCUGAGGGCAAAGCCUGGGCCUCAUCCUCUUGUGGAUCCAGGAGAGCAGUCGCUGAAGAGAAAGAGGAAGAAAAGGAGUGGCUAGAAAAGAAAGUUUAUUUCCACUGCAGGAAGCACUGCCUCCCAUCUGAGAAAUGUCCCAAGCAGGAAUCAGUGCUGCGAUGAACUUAUGAGUGAAUGCAUCAAAAAGACCAAGUUGAACUUAUGAGCGAAUGCAUCAAAAAGACCAAGACUUGAUCCCUUGCCCACAAAGAUACAAGGCUGAGGACAAAGCCAUGAAGGAAAAGCCUCACUGAAGAAGAGGAACCUAAGAGAAGCAGGUUCUGCUCUGAUGAACUCCCAUAAAGGCAUUCCCAUAAAGGUGUGGGCCUGAGUGAUAAUCUAGAUAUGGUACAGUUGACAUCAGGUAUAUGGCGGCAGCCAGAAAUUCAACUUUGUCCAUCAGCUCUCUGCACAACAGGAAAGAUGGUGACCUUCCAGGCUUAUCUGAGGUCCAAGAGUAACAUCACAAACACAGUAACUACACCCAGCCAAAGAAAAGCAUACCUGAAUCCAAGAGAGUAUUUACACUGGCUUCAGGGAUGAGGAAAUAAAGGAGUAAGUGAUUAGGAUCAUUGUUUUCCUUUCUCUUUGGUACAAAAUAAAUGAGCUUCCUUUCUUUCAUUAAAAAUAAAUGUUUAGGCCGGGCGCGGUGGCUCACGCCUGUAAUCCCAGCACUUUGGGAAGCCGAGGCGGACG